GACUUUUCCUAGUCCCUGAGACCCUAACUUGUGAGGUAUUUUAGUAACAUCACAAGUCAGGCUCUUGGGACCUAGGCGGAGGG
Molecule: microRNA precursor, 83 nt
Organism: Moschus moschiferus (Siberian musk deer)
Lineage: Eukaryota; Metazoa; Chordata; Mammalia; Artiodactyla; Moschidae
Product: microRNA 125b-2
Source: Ensembl